ACGUAGGGGGCGAGCGUUGUCCGGAAUUAUUGGGCGUAAAGAGCUCGUAGGCGGCUCAGCAAGUCGGCUGUGAAAUCCCGAGGCUCAACCUCGGAACUGCAGUCGAUACUGCUGUGGCUAGAGUCUGGUAGAGGAGAGUGGAAUUCCCGGUGUAGCGGUGAAAUGCGCAGAUAUCGGGAGGAACACCAGUAGCGAAGGCGGCUCUCUGGGCCAGUACUGACGCUGAGGAGCGAAAGCGUGGGGAGCAAACAGGA
Molecule: ribosomal RNA, 254 nt
Filed under: uncultured prokaryote
Description: partial 16S ribosomal RNA
Rfam family: Bacterial small subunit ribosomal RNA
Source: RNAcentral